This 492-nucleotide ribosomal RNA is filed under the name uncultured bacterium. Its description in RNAcentral is "partial 16S ribosomal RNA". It matches the Rfam family "Bacterial small subunit ribosomal RNA", at positions 29 to 507 of the family's 1533-position model. The record is from RNAcentral.
AGUGAACGCUGGCGGUAGGCCUAACACAUGCAAGUCGAACGGCAGCACAGUAAGAGCUUGCUCUUACGGGUGGCGAGUGGCGGACGGGUGAGGAAUACAUCGGAAUCUACUUUUUCGUGGGGGAUAACGUAGGGAAACUUAUGCUAAUACCGCAUACGACCUACGGGUGAAAGCAGGGGAUCUUCGGACCUUGCGCGAUUGAAUGAGCCGAUGUCGGAUUAGCUAGUUGGCGGGGUAAAGGCCCACCAAGGCGACGAUCCGUAGCUGGUCUGAGAGGAUGAUCAGCCACACUGGAACUGAGACACGGUCCAGACUCCUACGGGAGGCAGCAGUGGGGAAUAUUGGACCAUGGGCGCAAGCCUGAUCCAGCCAUACCGCGUGGGUGAAGAAGGCCUUCGGGUUGUAAAGCCCUUUUGUCGGGAAAGAAAAGCAGCAGGUUAAUACCCCGCUGUUCUGACGGUACCCAAAGAAUAAGCACCGGCUAACUUCGUG